AUGCGGGGUAUCAUCCUAUGUGAUGUGCUCCCACUCGACGACGACGCCAAGACGCUUCGCUACAUCCCUCUGCCGGACCCCAUCCGGCCAGACGACACCAUCGACGAAUCUGGAGGCAUGUACCGGGACGUCGCCGUCGUCGGCAGCCGCAUCAAGUAUGCUGAGGUGAAGAUGCACGUCAGGCCGGGCUCGGCCGGCCCGAAAGGCUCCUUCACCAUCGAUGGCUGGACCGCCGUCGUAUGGAGCAGGCCGGCCAAUUCCUUCAAGGAGUCGACCACCUGGCGCAAGGACCAUGAGGUCCAUGCUCACCAGGUCUCUUUCGUUGACGGCAAAAACAAGACGGCGCCAGGCUUUGAGUUGCUCCCGGCUGUGGUGGAUCACCAGGGCAACCCGCAGCCGACCUUGGUGGGGAUCCACGUUGGCCAUCCCAAGCUCAGCCUGAGCGUCGGUGACAACACCCUUUACUUGAUGGCCAAGGUCAACCGCUGGUACGACAAAGCAUGGGUGAUCGCUGUCGACAUGAAGAACAAGAGGCUGCGGGGAGUGGCCGAGUUUGGUGGAGCACCAAGGUGCUCGGCGUUUCUCCAUGCCUAUAGGCAAAGCAGGAUCUCGGAGCAUCUCAAUGUCUCCCAAGGUACAAAGAGUCACCUGAAACGACCAGGGAUGCCACUGCCACAUGGAAGCUCUCACAAGAAGCCAGAGAUCCCUCCACAUCAUGUGAUGCAUCACUGUCCCAGUGGACAAAACCCCAGGGCGACAUGGCCCACAUUUCCCGCACAGACUACUGAUGAUGAGGAUUAUGAUGAUGAUGAACGGACAAGGAUGGCAGACGACAUGGACUUGGAAUAA
RNAcentral lists this ribosomal RNA (849 nucleotides) under Triticum aestivum (bread wheat). RNAcentral describes it as "partial small subunit ribosomal RNA". The record is from RNAcentral. Lineage: Eukaryota; Viridiplantae; Streptophyta; Magnoliopsida; Poales; Poaceae.